RNAcentral lists this ribosomal RNA (583 nucleotides) under Staphylococcus aureus. RNAcentral's name for it is "bacterial SSU rRNA". It matches the Rfam family "Bacterial small subunit ribosomal RNA", at positions 169 to 739 of the family's 1533-position model. The record is from RNAcentral. Lineage: Bacteria; Bacillati; Bacillota; Bacilli; Caryophanales; Staphylococcaceae.
CCGGAUAAUAUUUUGAACCGCAUGGUUCAAAAGUGAAAGACGGUCUUGCUGUCACUUAUAGAUGGAUCCGCGCUGCAUUAGCUAGUUGGUAAGGUAACGGCUUACCAAGGCAACGAUGCAUAGCCGACCUGAGAGGGUGAUCGGCCACACUGGAACUGAGACACGGUCCAGACUCCUACGGGAGGCAGCAGUAGGGAAUCUUCCGCAAUGGGCGAAAGCCUGACGGAGCAACGCCGCGUGAGUGAUGAAGGUCUUCGGAUCGUAAAACUCUGUUAUUAGGGAAGAACAUAUGUGUAAGUAACUGUGCACAUCUUGACGGUACCUAAUCAGAAAGCCACGGCUAACUACGUGCCAGCAGCCGCGGUAAUACGUAGGUGGCAAGCGUUAUCCGGAAUUAUUGGGCGUAAAGCGCGCGUAGGCGGUUUUUUAAGUCUGAUGUGAAAGCCCACGGCUCAACCGUGGAGGGUCAUUGGAAACUGGAAAACUUGAGUGCAGAAGAGGAAAGUGGAAUUCCAUGUGUAGCGGUGAAAUGCGCAGAGAUAUGGAGGAACACCAGUGGCGAAGGCGACUUUCUGGUCUGUAA